Molecule: ribosomal RNA, 167 nt
Filed under: uncultured bacterium
Lineage: Bacteria
Description: partial 16S ribosomal RNA
Rfam family: Bacterial small subunit ribosomal RNA
Source: RNAcentral
GCUAGUAAUCGCGGAUCAGAACGCCGCGGUGAAUACGUUCCCGGGUCUUGUACACACCGCCCGUCACACCAUGGGAGUCGGGAACGCCCGAAGUCCGUAGUCUAACCGCAAGGAGGACGCGGCCUAAGGUGGGUUCGAUAAUUGGGGUGAAGUCGUAACAAGGUAUC